This 430-nucleotide ribosomal RNA is filed under the name uncultured bacterium. RNAcentral's name for it is "partial 16S ribosomal RNA". It matches the Rfam family "Bacterial small subunit ribosomal RNA", at positions 354 to 796 of the family's 1533-position model. The record is from RNAcentral.
GUGGGGAAUAUUGCACAAUGGGCGCAAGCCUGAUGCAGCAACGCCGCGUGAGGGAUGACGGCCUUCGGGUUGUAAACCUCUUUUAGUAGGGAAGAAGCGAAAGUGACGGUACCUGCAGAAAAAGCACCGGCUAACUACGUGCCAGCAGCCGCGGUAAUACGUAGGGUGCAAGCGUUGUCCGGAAUUAUUGGGCGUAAAGAGCUCGUAGGCGGCUUGUCGCGUCUGCUGUGAAAACCCGAGGCUCAACCUCGGGCCUGCAGUGGGUACGGGCAGGCUAGAGUGCGGUAGGGGAGAUUGGAAUUCCUGGUGUAGCGGUGGAAUGCGCAGAUAUCAGGAGGAACACCGAUGGCGAAGGCAGAUCUCUGGGCCGUAACUGACGCUGAGGAGCGAAAGCAUGGGGAGCGAACAGGAUUAGAAACCCCUGUAGUCC